Molecule: ribosomal RNA, 309 nt
Filed under: uncultured bacterium
Lineage: Bacteria
Description: partial 16S ribosomal RNA
Rfam family: Bacterial small subunit ribosomal RNA
Source: RNAcentral
CUGUACAGUUCAGAGUUUGAUCCUGGCUCAGAACGAACGCUGGCGGCAGGCUUAACACAUGCAAGUCGAGCGCCCCGCCAAGGGGAGGCGGCAGACGGGUGAGUAACGCGUGGGAAUCUACCUAGCUCUACGGAAUAACCCAGGGAAACUUGGACUAAUACCGUAUACGUCCUUCGGGAGAAAGAUUUAUCGGAGUUAGAUGAGCCCGCGUUGGAUUAGCUAGUUGGUGGGGUAAUGGCCUACCAAGGCGACGAUCCAUAGCUGGUCUGAGAGGAUGAUCAGCCACACUGGGACUGAGACACGGCCCAG